GCCAGAUUUGCAGACAAGUCUGCAAAUUCGCAGACUUUUAAUUUAAGCUGCAGAUUUCUUCGAUGACGCAGAUGUUUGCAGAUUUUUUAGUUUGGUUGCAGAUAUUUGCAGAUUUUUUAGUUUGGUUGCAGAUAUUUACAGAUUUUUGAAUGAAAAGGCUUUUGAUUACACUAGCUUUCCUGACAUUUUUGUUCUUCCCAGACUUUUAAAAUUAUUAUUGCAGACAUUUGAAAAAAGUACCUGGCAUCUCUGAUGGAUGACAAAGAAAAUUAUGAAUGUAGAAUAUAUGUUUACUAAGUGUCUGCAAGGUGAACAUUCAAUAAACAAAUGUAUCAAUCUAUAACAAUGCAGCCGUUCAUGUUCGGGUUAUUAUUUAAGGUGUAAUUGACAAAUAGAACUCGCUAAGGUUAUAAAACCGCUGUUGCUGUAGUAUACCAUGAACAUUUAUACGAUGCUGGACUUGGUGUAUAUUUUUCCAGGUAGCACCAUUACUGCUGGGAUGUUUGACAUGAACAGUCGCACGUUACUGAUUUCGUGUAUAUUUCUCUAGGUA
Molecule: long non-coding RNA, 553 nt
Organism: Topomyia yanbarensis
Lineage: Eukaryota; Metazoa; Arthropoda; Insecta; Diptera; Culicidae
Exons: 3
Source: RefSeq, a predicted model, not a curated record